RNAcentral lists this long non-coding RNA (1840 nucleotides) under Dasypus novemcinctus (nine-banded armadillo). RNAcentral's name for it is "lncRNA (ENSDNOG00000052064.1)". Lineage: Eukaryota; Metazoa; Chordata; Mammalia; Cingulata; Dasypodidae. The record is from RNAcentral.
ACUACCACAGCUCAUUUUCAGCUAUUUAAGGGCUGGUAGAAGGGUUUAAUUCACCUACACACAACCCCAAGUCGGGGGGGGAAGAGGUGGAUCACCGCCCUCCUCCCAGGGAGUUUAAUGAAAAUAGGUAAGAGAGGCCUCGGCAGCACGCUGAAAACCACAGAGGGCGGCCGGAGGGUCGGGUUGCGGAGGACAGGCUGAUCCUCGGGCCCCACCUCCCCACACCUUCCCGGCAAGACGAGGGAGGCGAGGAGCUCAUUACAGCCUUCGUUAAUUGACACCUGUAAUGAAGAAACUUUCCGAAAGCCGAAGCCGCUCGGGCCCGGCCGGGCCGGACCUCGGCCGCAGCCGCCUCCCCGGCGUCCAGGUAACCCGGCCGAGCUGGGCCCGAGGCGCCGCGGCAGGCGCGCCACCGCGCACCUUCCCAGGCCGCUAGGCCCACACGCCGCCCCGCCCGCGCCUCCCGCAGGCGGCGGCGUCCGGAGUAGGCCGGGGAGCGGCGCGGGGAUCCCAAACCGUGCACCCCGACAGGCCGCCGCCGCGGCUACUUACUUUCAUUUAACACCUCCACCAGGUCUGCGCAGUUCUCGCACAUCGUUCGGCCGCCGCCCCCCCCCUCCCCCGCUACGGAUCACACAGCCAGAUCCCUACCGGCGAGGGGGAGGGGAGAGAGGCGGAGGAGGGGGCCGGCCGGCCGGGCGGGCGGGGAGGCGACUAGGGCUGGCGGCGGCGGGGACGGGGCGGGGAGCAGGAGAAUGGGGGGAGGGGGCCGGCGGUCCCCGGAGCGGGCGGGGGAGAGAAGGGGGGCGAGGGGAGGUGCGCAGGCCGGAGGGGCGCGGAGGCGCCGACGGCGGGGAAGGGGGGGAAGGACAAGGGGAGGGGAAAGGGAGGGAGGGGGCGGGUGGGGAGAGAAGCAGCAGAGUCACUUCACCGACCAGACGCCGCGGCCACCGCUGACGCCGCCGCCAUUUUAAUAGGGCGCUCGGGNNNNNNNNNNNNNNNNNNNNNNNNNNNNNNNNNNNNNNNNNNNNNNNNNNGGGUGGGGAGGAAGCAGCAGAUCUCUUCACAGCCCGGAGGCCGCGGCCACCGCUUACGCCCCGACAUUUUAAUAGGGCGCUCGGGCUGCGCUCGGCUCUUUCCGCUUGUGCGAGGGAGCCGACGAGAAGCGCCUCGCGCUCUCAUUCCUCCUCCUCCCGCCCUCUCCUCCCCUCGCGUCCUCCCACCUCUGCUUCUGAACACACGCUGCACGCUCCACACCCAGCGGCGGCCGCCUCACCGCCCUCCCUUUCCUCUUCCGUCCGGCCUCCCCGCCCUCGGUCCACCCCCUCGGCGUGCUCGCCCACUCCGCCCAGCCCGGAUCUCUGUCAGCGGCCGGAAGGGAAACGCGAAGCCAGCGCGGGCGCGGGGGGAGUCCGGUUUUUGGGCAUCUUUCUUCUUGUCAUCCUUGGACUACACGGCAAAACUCAGCAGUUGCAGCCUCUACAGCCUUGAGGAGGUGAUGUUUUACAUAUUAUGGCCAGAGAAGGCUUCUCUGAUAAGGAUGAAAUUUGAGCAAGAAUUUAGGAAGCCUUGGGACUAUCUGGGGAAAAGAUAUUCAAGAAUAAUAAAUGUAAAGGCCCCAAGAUUAAUGUUCUUGGGUAGUAGAGUUGGGUUUAAAAACAGUCUAAGCACUAUUGGCAUUUUGGGUCAGAUAAUUCUUUGCUGGAGAGUGGGGUUGGGGACUGUCCUGCACAUUGUAAGAUGUUUAGCAGCAUCCCUGACCUCUCCCCCUAGAAGGAAACAACAACCUCCUCCCUGCCUAUUACCCAGUUGUGACAACCAACAUGUCUAUAGACAUUGA